Molecule: non-coding RNA, 30 nt
Filed under: Mus musculus (house mouse)
Lineage: Eukaryota; Metazoa; Chordata; Mammalia; Rodentia; Muridae
Source: RNAcentral
UGGGUAAAAAUUAAUUCCAACGCUCUGAAA